This 1476-nucleotide long non-coding RNA is filed under the name Nicotiana tabacum (common tobacco). RNAcentral's name for it is "long non-coding RNA (NTAB_LNC014504)". Lineage: Eukaryota; Viridiplantae; Streptophyta; Magnoliopsida; Solanales; Solanaceae. The record is from RNAcentral.
AGAACUUAAGAAACUUUACAAAGACAAAAGAUGUUGUCAUAUUGGAAUCAACAGAAACGUUAGUCUCCAUGGAAACAGUAACCAUCUUCAAGCUUUCAACAAAAGCUCCAUUUCUUAGCUUCAUUUCGUUCAAUACUUCAAAAAAAAGAAGCAUAAGCUUAAUUCCAUCCGAAUUUUGUGGUUCUAAAAGAGUACGGUGCAAUCUUCGUCAAGAAUAUUAUACGGAGUUUUCCCUACUCUAGGUAUGUUAAGGCUAUCCCUUCUUUCUUUUUGGCAUGAUCCAAAUUAUACAGAACGAACGAGCAAACACACGGUUUCCAUAAAUUACUCUAUUCAUAGAAAUACUAGGGAUGUCUAUAUUCUUGAUUUCCCCAUGUGAACUAUUAUUAUCUUCUGUUCAUGAGUCCUGGAACAAUAUGUAUUUGAUAAUGUUUGUCCGAAAGGCGUAUUGAUGUUUAUAGCUUACUAGAGGAUUUACGAUCCAGCAGAAUUGCGGUUAUAAAUUUAAUGCUAGAUGUCUUGUUUAUAAUAACCUGUAGCAUGAGAAUAUUAGGCCUAUUACUAGCAAUAUAAUGUACUCUUUUCAUAUUAUGUCUAUAACAAUGUAUUACUGCAAAAAUUGAAGUUUCAUUUCAUAUAACUAUUCUAUGUUGAAGUUCAAUUAAACUUCAUUUAAGGAUGACACUCCGAAAAAAUUUUAUUGACGUACUUUUCAUGCAUUGCAUUCAUUUACAUUAACCCAUGACCAGAUGACAUAAUAUAUGCGUAUAUAUGUAUAUUAUAUGUAUGUGGGAUAUGUGAAAAAGGUUACGGCAUUAUAUAUGCACCACCACCUUUAUCAGUUGGUAUAUGUUGAUGAUAUUGCCCACAGUGGCCGAGACGAUAUGGUGGGAUGCCCUCAGUGGCGUGAUGAUGUUAUGUACACCUAUACCCAUGUAUGACACGACAUUUAUAUACACGUGCAUAACACUAUAAAUGUUUCAGUAUUUACAAAGUUAUUCACAUUUACAGAUGGAUUUCUUUAUUCCAUGUUUCAUCUAUGCCUUUUAUGUACAGAUUUUUAUGCCUUACAAACUCAGUACAUUUUUCAUACUGACGCCCUAUUUCACGGGGCAUGUGUUUCAUGCCCGCAGGUGCAGGUAGGUGGUUGACGGUCCCCCUUCUUAGGAUCCCUGAUCAGCGAGAGUUGGCGUGCUCCACUUGAUCUGGAGCUGCUUUUGAUUUUGGUACGAUAUGUUUGUAUAUAUAUAGAGAUAUGACGUGGCUCAGUCCCGUCUUUGUAUAGUUAUAUUUCUAUUAGAGGUCUGUAGACGGUAUGCCUAGUUGGAUAGUAUGUGGCCUUGCCGGCUUCCGGUUUUGAGGUAUAUAGUUGUCUAUAGUAGCCUUGUCGGCUCGCCCUACGUAUGUUGCACGUAUAUGUAUGUAUGCCUUUUGGGCAGGUUUCCUUCAUGUAUAUUAUUCUCGUAAUUCAGCAGA